This 497-nucleotide ribosomal RNA is filed under the name uncultured bacterium. RNAcentral's name for it is "partial 16S ribosomal RNA". It matches the Rfam family "Bacterial small subunit ribosomal RNA", at positions 28 to 507 of the family's 1533-position model. The record is from RNAcentral.
GAUGAACGCUGGCGGCGUGCCUAAUACAUGCAAGUCGAGCGGACGGACGAUAAGCUUGCGGCUCUGAUGUUAGCGGCGGACGGGUGAGUAACGUGUGUAUAACGUACCUAUAAUACGGGGAUAACUUCGGGAAACCGGAGCUAAUACCGGAGGAUAUUUUGAACCGCAGGGGGCAAAGGUGAAAGACGGUGGUGCGGGCACUUAUAGAUGGAUCCGCGCUUGAUUAGCUAGUUGGGAAGGUAAAGGCUUACCAAGGGAACGAGGCAUAGCCGAGCGGAGAGGGUGGUCGGCCACCCUGGAACUGAGACACGGUCCAGACUCCUACGGGAGGCAGCAGUCGGGAACCUUCCGCAAUGGGGGAAAACCUUACGGAGCAACGCCGCGUGAGUGAUGAAGGUCUUCGGAUCGUAAAACUCUGUUAUUAGGGAAGAACAUCUGUGUACGUAAAUGUGCACAUCUUGACGGUACCUAAUCAGAAAGCAACGGCUAACUACGUG